RNAcentral lists this ribosomal RNA (1013 nucleotides) under uncultured bacterium. RNAcentral's name for it is "bacterial SSU rRNA". It matches the Rfam family "Bacterial small subunit ribosomal RNA", at positions 356 to 1375 of the family's 1533-position model. The record is from RNAcentral.
GGGGAAUAUUGCACAAUGGGCGCAAGCCUGAUGCAGCGACGCCGCGUGCAGGAUGGAGGCCUUCGGGUUGUAAACCGCUUUUAAUCGGGAGCAAGCCCUUCGGGGUGAGUGUACCUUUCGAAUAAGCACCGGCUAACUACGUGCCAGCAGCCGCGGUAAUACGUAGGGUGCAAGCGUUAUCCGGAAUUAUUGGGCGUAAAGGGCUCGUAGGCGGUUCGUCGCGUCCGGUGUGAAAGCCCAUCGCUUAACGGUGGGUCUGCGCCGGGUACGGGCGGGCUGGAGUGCGGUAGGGGAGACUGGAAUUCCCGGUGUAACGGUGGAAUGUGUAGAUAUCGGGAAGAACACCAAUGGCGAAGGCAGGUCUCUGGGCCGUCACUGACGCUGAGGAGCGAAAGCGUGGGGAGCGAACAGGAUUAGAUACCCUGGUAGUCCACGCCGUAAACGGUGGAUGCUGGAUGUGGGGCCCGUUCCACGGGUUCCGUGUCGGAGCUAACGCGUUAAGCAUCCCGCCUGGGGAGUACGGCCGCAAGGCUAAAACUCAAAGAAAUUGACGGGGGCCCGCACAAGCGGCGGAGCAUGCGGAUUAAUUCGAUGCAACGCGAAGAACCUUACCUGGGCUUGACAUGUUCCCGACAGCCGUAGAGAUAUGGCCUCCCUUCGGGGCGGGUUCACAGGUGGUGCAUGGUCGUCGUCAGCUCGUGUCGUGAGAUGUUGGGUUAAGUCCCGCAACGAGCGCAACCCUCGCCCUGUGUUGCCAGCACGUCAUGGUGGGAACUCACGGGGGACCGCCGGGGUCAACUCGGAGGAAGGUGGGGAUGACGUCAGAUCAUCAUGCCCCUUACGUCCAGGGCUUCACGCAUGCUACAAUGGCCGGUACAGCGGGAUGCGACAUGGCGACAUGGAGCGGAUCCCUGAAAACCGGUCUCAGUUCGGAUUGGAGUCUGCAACCCGACUCCAUGAAGGCGGAGUCGCUAGUAAUCGCGGAUCAGCAACGCCGCGGUGAAUGCGUUCCC